UACUAAAUUCUACUGUGGUCAUUGACUGU
This 29-nucleotide non-coding RNA is filed under the name Mus musculus (house mouse). Lineage: Eukaryota; Metazoa; Chordata; Mammalia; Rodentia; Muridae. The record is from RNAcentral.